This 292-nucleotide ribosomal RNA is filed under the name uncultured bacterium. RNAcentral describes it as "partial 16S ribosomal RNA". It matches the Rfam family "Bacterial small subunit ribosomal RNA", at positions 505 to 796 of the family's 1533-position model. The record is from RNAcentral.
GUGUCAGCAGCCGCGGUAAGACGGAGGGUGCGAGCGUUGUUCGGAAUUACUGGGCGUAAAGCGCGCGCAGGUGGGUGCGUAAGUCGGAGGUGAAAGCGCAGGGCUCAACCCUGCGACGCCCUUCGAGACUGCGUGUCUAGGGACCGGUAGAGGUGAGUGGAAUUCCCGGUGUAGCGGUGGAAUGCGUAGAUAUCGGGAAGAACACCGGAGGCGAAGGCGGCUCACUGGGCCGGAUCCGACACUGAGGCGCGAAAGCGUGGGGAGCAAACAGGAUUAGAAACCCUGGUAGUCC